This 177-nucleotide ribosomal RNA is filed under the name uncultured bacterium. RNAcentral describes it as "partial 16S ribosomal RNA". It matches the Rfam family "Bacterial small subunit ribosomal RNA", at positions 1315 to 1500 of the family's 1533-position model. The record is from RNAcentral.
CCUUCAUGAAGCCGGAAUUGCUAGUAAUGGCAGGUCAGCAUACUGCCGUGAAUACGUUCCCGGGCCUUGUACACACCGCCCGUCAAGCCAUGGGAGCCGGGGGCGCCUGAAGUGCGGUACCGCGAGGGCCGCCCAAGGGCGAGACCGGUGACUGGGGCUAAGUCGUAACAAGGUAAC